RNAcentral lists this ribosomal RNA (916 nucleotides) under uncultured bacterium. Its description in RNAcentral is "bacterial SSU rRNA". It matches the Rfam family "Bacterial small subunit ribosomal RNA", at positions 246 to 1155 of the family's 1533-position model. The record is from RNAcentral.
UUGUUGGUAAGGUAAAAGCUUACCAAGGCUUCGAUCAGUAGCUGGUCUGAGAGGACGACCAGCCACACUGGGACUGAGACACGGCCCAGACUCCUACGGGAGGCAGCAGUGGGGAAUUUUGGACAAUGGGGGCAACCCUGAUCCAGCCAUGCCGCGUGAGUGAAGAAGGCCUUCGGGUUGUAAAGCUCUUUCAGCCGGAACGAAACGGUUACGGAUAACACCCGUGACUACUGACGGUACCGGAAGAAGAAGCACCGGCUAACUACGUGCCAGCAGCCGCGGUAAUACGUAGGAUGCGAGCGUUAAUCGGAAUUACUGGGCGUAAAGCGUGCGCAGGUGGUUUUGUAAGUCAGAUGUGAAAGCCCCGGGCUCAACCUGGGAACUGCGUUUGAAACUACAAGACUAGAGUGUGGCAGAGGGGGGUGGAAUUCCGCGUGUAGCAGUGAAAUGCGUAGAGAUGUGGAGGAACACCGAUGGCGAAGGCAGCCCCCUGGGUCAACACUGACGCUCAGGCACGAAAGCAUGGGGAGCAAACAGGAUUAGAUACCCUGGUAGUCCAUGCCCUAAACGAUGUCAACUAGUUGUCGGGCCUUUACGGGCUUGGUAACGUAGCUAACGCGUGAAGUUGACCGCCUGGGGAGUACGAUCGCAAGAUUAAAACUCAAAUGAAUUGACGGGGACCCGCACAAGCGGUGGAUUAUGUGGAUUAAUUCGAUGCAACGCGAAAAACCUUACCUACCCUUGACAUGUAUCGAAGCCCGCGGAAAAGCGGGGGUGCCCGAAAGGGAACGAUAACACAGGUGCUGCAUGGCUGUCGUCAGCUCGUGUCGUGAGAUGUUGGGUUAAGUCCCGCAACGAGCGCAACCCUUGUCAUUAAUUGCCAUCAUUUAGUUGGGCACUUUAAUGAGACUGCCGG